Molecule: ribosomal RNA, 342 nt
Filed under: uncultured bacterium
Lineage: Bacteria
Description: bacterial SSU rRNA
Rfam family: Bacterial small subunit ribosomal RNA
Source: RNAcentral
CUGGAAUAACACGAGGAAACUUGUGCUAAUACCGGAUAAGUCUUUACGGAGAAAGCUUUAUGCACCAUUGGAUGAGCCCGCACUUGAUUAGUUUGUUGGUAGGGUAAUGGCCUACCAAGACUAUGAUCAAUAGCUGAUUUGAGAGGAUGAUCAGCCACAUUGGGACUGGACACGGCCCAAACUCCUACGGGAGGCAGCAGUGGGGAAUCUUGCACAAUGGAGGAAACUCUGAUGCAGCGAUGCCGCGUGAGUGAAGAAGGCCCUUGGGUUGUAAAGCUCUUUCGUCGGGGAAGAAAAACUCCGACGUGUCGGAGCUUGACGGUACUGUAAGAAUAAGGAUCG